CGAGAUUCCCCUAGUAACGGCGAGUGAAUGGGGAAAAGCCCAGCGCUGAAUCCUUGAGUUGAAAAACUCAAAGGAAUUGUAGCGUAUAGGUGCGACUAUCUCUUUGUUUCGUGCAUCCAAAGUCCCCUUGAGUGGGGCCACAGUCCAAAGAAGGUGCUAGACCUGUACGGAUGGUGAAACAUUGAGUAGGUCGACCCUUGGAGUCGGGUUGUCUGAGAUCGCAGCCCAAAGAGGGUGGUAAACCUCAUCUAAGGCUAAAUAUGACCACGAGACCGAUAGCAAACAAGUACCGUGAGGGAAAGUUGCAAAGAACUUUGAAGAGAGAGUUCAAGAGGGCGUGAAACCGCUAAGAUGGAAGCGAAUAGAGUUGACGAAACUUGUCGGUAUUCAACCGAUCAAUUCAGCGAUUUUACGGCUAUAUACCUCAUUUUUGGGGACAUAGACGUGAAUAAUUGUUGACUUUUAAUGGCUAGUGAUUGGUGAAUUUGCCGACGGUAUGCGCUGAGAGCCUUGUCAAAUAUUUAGUAUGUUGACAUACAUUUGUAGAGGACCAUCCAAUUUUUGGUGUGGAACCCUCGAUGUAUAUGAUACAUAUCUAUGAUAAGGUUAUAUAUAUAUAUGUAUACAGCAACUUCAGCUAGUAAAUGCGCAUCACUUUUGAUAAAAUUGAUCAGGCUGUUAUACGGUCGCAUGCGACUUGUUUUCAGUCUUUUUAUGAUCAAUUUUUUUUGAAGUGUACCUAUGCGAUUUGAAGUUGUGUCUCAGUGUGAACGUCAAUCACCUAUUCGACCCGUCUUGAAACACGGACCAAGGAGUCUAGCAUAUACGCAAGUUAUUAGGUGUUAAAACCAUAAAAGCGUAAUGAAAGUGAAGAUCAUCAUUGGUAUGAUUGAUAUGUGAUCCAUAUAUUUCUCAUCAUUUUUACGAAUGAUGAGAGAUUUUUGAUAUGGUGCAACAUAGUCCCGUUCUUGUUGCUUGCAAUAGGGCGGAGAUAGAGCGUAUACGCUGGGACCCGAAAGAUGGUGAACUAUGCCUGAGCAGGAUGAAGCCAGAGGAAACUCUGGUGGAAGUCCGAAGCGAUUCUGACGUGCAAAUCGAUCGUCUGACUUUGGUAUAGGGGCGAAAGACUAAUCGAACUAUCUA
This 1143-nucleotide ribosomal RNA is filed under the name Physaloptera sp. F1-11a. Its description in RNAcentral is "LSU rRNA". It matches the Rfam family "Eukaryotic large subunit ribosomal RNA", at positions 70 to 946 of the family's 3401-position model. The record is from RNAcentral. Lineage: Eukaryota; Metazoa; Nematoda; Chromadorea; Rhabditida; Physalopteridae.